Nicotiana tabacum (common tobacco) is the source of this 386-nucleotide non-coding RNA. The record is from RefSeq and is a predicted model, not a curated record. NCBI's taxonomy places the organism in Eukaryota, Viridiplantae, Streptophyta, Magnoliopsida, Solanales, Solanaceae.
CAGAGAGAGAGAGACUCUCUCCGCAAACACUUUCCAAAGCAAAGCGUACUACCACCGCCUUCUUCUCUCUUCACCAUCAACUUCAACACUCAAAAAGAACCCAAAUUCACAAUAUUCUUCUGAAUCUGGGUUUGAAAAUGCCGCUAUAUAAAAGAAAGCCAUUUGCUUUGGUGGAAAAACCAAAGGAUUUGAAGCCUAAUGACCUCGUGUUCCAAGUUCGUUUUACUAAAGAGAUAUUUAAGGAUUAUAGUGAAUAUCUGAGACGGAUGAACCUGUAUCGCCAUAGAGUAUGGUCAUGCAAAUCGACAGGAAAGAAUAACUUGACUUACGAGGAGGCAUUGGUUUCAGAGAAGAAGGCUGCAGAAGAAGUUCAGAAGUUCCCCGAG